AACAGGAUUAGAUACCCUGGUAGUCCACGCCGUAAACGAUGUCGACUUGGAGGUUGUUCCCUUGAGGAGUGGCUUCCGGAGCUAACGCGUUAAGUCGACCGCCUGGGGAGUACGGCCGCAAGGUUAAAACUCAAAUGAAUUGACGGGGGCCCGCACAAGCGGUGGAGCAUGUGGUUUAAUUCGAUGCAACGCGAAGAACCUUACCUACUCUUGACAUCCACGGAAUUUGGCAGAGAUGCCUUAGUGCCUUCGGGAACCGUGAGACAGGUGCUGCAUGGCUGUCGUCAGCUCGUGUUGUGAAAUGUUGGGUUAAGUCCCGCAACGAGCGCAACCCUUAUCCUUUGUUGCCAGCGAUUCGGUCGGAAACUCAAAGGAGACUGCCGGUGAUAAACCGGAGGAAGGUGGGGAUGACGUCAAGUCAUCAUGGCCCUUACGAGUAGGGCUACACACGUGCUACAAUGGCGCAUACAAAGAGAAGCGACCUCGCGAGAGCAAGCGGACCUCACAAAGUGCGUCGUAGUCCGGAUCGGAGUCUGCAACUCGACUCCGUGAAGUCGGAAUCGCUAGUAAUCGUGGAUCAGAAUGCCACGGUGAAUACGUUCCCGGGCCUUGUACACACCGCCCGUCACACCAUGGGAGUGGGUUGCAAAAGAAGUAGGUAGCUUAACCUUCGGGAGUGCGCUUACCACUUUGUGAUUCAUGACUGGGGUGAAGUCGUAACAAGGUAACC
RNAcentral lists this ribosomal RNA (730 nucleotides) under uncultured bacterium. Its description in RNAcentral is "bacterial SSU rRNA". It matches the Rfam family "Bacterial small subunit ribosomal RNA", at positions 771 to 1501 of the family's 1533-position model. The record is from RNAcentral.